Gossypium hirsutum (cotton) is the source of this 107-nucleotide non-coding RNA. Lineage: Eukaryota; Viridiplantae; Streptophyta; Magnoliopsida; Malvales; Malvaceae. The record is from Rfam.
AUUCCAUGAUGAGGGCAUUACCAUAAUAAUUCUUUGUACCUUUCCCAUGCCUCAUACAAGGACCCAUCAUCCAUUUGUUGGAAAGCAUUGAUCUCGUUCCUCAACUU